UCAGCCUCCCAAAGUGCUGGGAUUACAGGCAUGAGCCACUGUGCCAGGCCAAUUCAUUCAUAUUUUCAUGUGAUUACAAUUUUUGGUUCCUUGCUCAACCUUGUGACUGUGGGGACCUAGAUAAAAAGGAACCUUUGUAAUGCAACCACAUAUUUCCUUUCUCCUGGCCCUGAACAUGGCUAGCCUUAAUUUUCUAGAGGCUCUCUGAAAAGUAAGCCAAUCAGCAGUUGUCAGCAUUUGGGGGAGUCCUGAAAACAUGAAUAUUUAUUAGUAAAGGUAUUGAAAGGUUAUGUCCACUAAUCAGCAUCCCACUCCAAUAUAGGUAGGUAAAAUCAGUUCAUACCUUCCCCAUGUCCAUUAUUCUCACCAUCACAGAAACCUAGCGGGAAAGGAAAAAGAAAAAAAGAAAACACUUUUAUGUGGUACUUUCAUUUUCAUGAAUUUAUGAAUCAGUAACUCUUUAUGAUUUGAAAUAGAAUUUUGAAAAUUCUAAGGCACUUUUGAUACACUGAUUUUCAUUUAAGGUGCUUUAUCAUUUAUACUAAAAAUAGGUAUAGCUAAUUUGAAACUAAAUUUGGUUCCUUUUUCUUUUCCUUUAAAAUUGUCUGUCUGAAAUUUUCUUACUGUCACUGUCCUGAGAGGAGAACAAUUUUUACAAAGCCUGAGAAUCUCUAUUCAAACCACAAAGUAAAGAAGUAUAGAUGGAAAUUCUCUUCCAAAUGCUUCAUCAUGGGGUUAAGAGCAGCACGGCGGGCUUCCCCAGCGGCCACGUGAGGUGUGAUGCCCCCACCGCUGAGCGCAGGCACAGACCACCCAGCUGCCUUGGAGGGAUUUGUAAAAGGUGAACAUUGUCACUAUUUUCAAUACUUUUUUUGUGUUUCUUUUCAAAAAGAUAUAAUUUAUGUUAACAUGUAAUGGGCUUAUUAUUUUUUUAAUUCACUAGUAUCUUUAAAAAAUCUCUCAGUUUAAUUUCUAAUAUCAAUAGAUAUUCUCACAUAAACAAAUACUCUUUGAGGGCCUCAAUAUUUUUUUUAUUUUAUUUUAUUAUUUUUUUCUGAGACAGAGUCUCGCUCUGUUGCCCAGGCUGGAGUGCAGUGGUGUGAUCUCGGCUCACUGCAACAUCUGCCUCCCGUGUUCAAGAAAUUCUUCUCCCUCAGCCUCCCGUGUAGCUGGGAUUAUAGACGUGCGUCACCAUGCCCAGCUAACUUUUGUAUUUUUAGUAGAGACGGGGUUUCACCAUGUUGGCCAGGCUGGUCUCGAACUCCCGACCUCGGGUGAUCCACCUGCCUCAGCCUCCCAAAGUGCUGGGAUUACAGGCAUGAGCCACUGUGCCUGGCCUAUUUUAUUUUAUUUUACUAGUGUUACUUUUUGAGAUGGAAUUUCACUCUUGUCGCCCAGGCUGCAGUACAGUGGUGUUCACUGCAACCUCUGCCUCCCGGGUUCAAGCGACUCUCUCGCCUCAGCCUCUCAAGUAGCUGGGAUUACAGGAACCCGCUACCAUGCCUGGCUAAUUUCUGUAUUUUUAGUAGAGACGGUGUUUCACCAUGUUGGCCAGGCUGGUCUUGAACUCCUGACCUCAGGUGAUUCGCCCGCCUUGGCCUCCCAAAAUGCUGGGAUGACAGGCAUGAGCCACUGCGCCAGGCCUCCAUGUUUUUUAAGGCUGUAAAGUAGUCCUAAAAGAAAAUGUGGGAGCCACUAAUGUAUAGCAAAUUUCUGAAAUUCUCCCAGAUAGCUUCAAUGUCUACACAGCUUUGGUUGCAAGAGAUGAUUAUCUAUUUAUCUCAUCAUAAGGUCAAACUGUCGGCCAUAGAAAGGACUUUACGGUAAGCAACUUCAUUAGCCUACAGUGCUUCUUUGUGGUUCAUUCCAGUGACAGCCUCAGGUGGCUAUGAAGCCACGUGGCUUCAGAGGAGGGAAGAGGCAGACAAGGGCAGAACCCACAGUGCAACAGAAAGAGCGUGGCCGCUGAGAUCAGAGAGACCUGGGUUCAGAUUCCAGCCUCUUUUUACAGAUUCAAAGAGACUCAAGAGAAUAUCAAACGAAUGCAGAGCCAACUGGGAAAAUCUAAAUACCGACCAGGCAUUGAAUUAUAUUAAGGAGUUAUUUUUAAUUUUGUUAAGUGUAAUAGCGGCAUUGUGGUUAUGUUUUUUAAAAAAGGUUCUCGUCGGCCUUAAACUGCUGGAGACAUUUCAAGGUACAAUACUAUACUAGCCAGUCACGGGACUGAGGUGGGAGGUAGGUUUGGAGAGACUGGCAGAAUGCUGAUAAUGAGUGAAGCUGAGGAUGGGCACCACAGGCCUUUUAUAACUCUUCUGUUUGAGUAUAUUUAAAAUUUUGCACCAUUCAUCGGGUUUCUUUUUUAUUUUGAGACAGCGUCUCUCUCUUGCCCAGGCUGGAAUGCAAUGGCGCAAACAUGGCUCACUGCAGCCUCAACCUCCUUGGGCUUAGGUGAUCCUCCCCACCUCAGCCUCCUGAGUAGCUCGAACCACAGGCACGUGCCACCACGCCUUUUUUUUUUUCAUAGAGACAGGGUCUCACCAUCUUGCCCAGGCUGGCCUCAAACUGCUGGACUCACACGAUCCUCUGGCCUCAGCCUCCCAAAGUGUUGGGACUAUAGGCGUGAGCCACCAUGCUCAGCUGCAUUUUUUCAAAUCCUAGUCCUUCACCUAUUAGCUAAGGCCCUUAAACAAGUCACUUAACCUUUUAGAAUGGAAAAUAAUACUCAUUCUUGUAGGGUGUUGUCAGGAUUGAAAAAAAAUGGCUGAGGUAGAACUCUUACUCCUGGAGUCUGGCCCAAAGUGAUCAUGAUAAUAGCUGAUGUUUAUUCAGCACAUAUGCUUCCCAGGUAUUAUCUUAUUCAACCCUCACAACCAACCCAUGAUCUAGGUAGCAUUAUCUCCAUUUUUCAAAUGAGUAAACUGAGGCAAUCAGAAGUUUAAAAAUCUACUCAAGGUCAUACAGCAAGAUGCAAACCCUGGGAGUCUCAUCCCAGACCUCGUGUGCUCUAUACUUUCCCCUGUAGACACUCAAAAAAUGGUGGGUUUUGUUUUGAACAUGUCAUAUCAACACAGCUUACAUAAACACACUCUGGCAACUGGAUGCUAUGUAAAAAAUAUCAGGACAGUUAAAUUGCUUUAAAAUCUACUCCUACCAGGAAACAACCCAUGUACCUGUUAAGUGCAGAUGUCAGCCUGAACCCAGGAUGCUUUUCGUCUUUCCAAGGAGGCUGCUGCCUUUAAAAACCAGAACAACAUAAAAGGAAAAGAAGUCAAUCCACAGACAGCAAAGGAGGGCCUCAGCACUUGCAUUUGAGAACUGGCUCUUCUACUCACCUCGCUCUGCAAGAGUUACUUAAAAAUACCCCACACCUCGCUCAUUUUGCUCAUCAUUGUUAAAAUGAGGUAAGACUCCAUGAUCCUUCCAGUCCUGUGAUCUCUGAUUUCCAGUAUAAAAACUACUACAAACCCAUAAGGCACAGGAUUAGCUAGCUGGGCAGAUGAGGAGUUCAGUGUGCAUGUAGGGGGCGCCGUGGCAAUCUUGGAUGCAAAAAUUUUGCAUUCCCCUACCAAUGGCCAUGAAGAGGAAUAGAAUUGUUACAGUUGCCCAGGGUAUGAAAAUAUUAAGUCUAACCAGUCCUGGUGCUCUGAAAAGCAGAAGACAUUUCUUGGAUACAUAAAAGAAAAAUAACAGUUUGGAGAUGACUUUUACUGAUGUAAUAAAAUAUUGUAUUUAUUCUACAACCCUGGAUCCCAAGAUUCUUGAGGGCAGCUGAAAACCUACCUGAGGUGGGGACCCACUGUUACCCAUCUUUAUUUCCUUUCCCAGAUCCAGACUACAUUAUACACAGUAAGUUCUCAGUCAGUAUUUGCCCAGAGAAUGGAUGGAGAGUAGACUUCAAUCCGGAGAGCUAAAUAUUUUUGAUACACACAUUUUAAAUGUGUCCUAAAUCUGACUUGGUGAUCUGAAAAUGAUACUAGGCACACAACAGAUGCAGCAGGGGCUUUUUCUCAGUUAAUUCUAUUUCCUGUUACCCUCUGUAUUGGGUACAAAAAUACUCAAAGAGACCUUAAAUCAAAUACACUGUGCAAAUUACCAUUUUAAGAGUCUUUUGUCCUUUUCAGCAGCUUACUAAGACACUCUGAGAAAAGAUGCUUAUUUUUCUUUCUUUU
Molecule: long non-coding RNA, 4169 nt
Filed under: Homo sapiens (human)
Lineage: Eukaryota; Metazoa; Chordata; Mammalia; Primates; Hominidae
Description: HSALNT0224524
Source: RNAcentral